RNAcentral lists this ribosomal RNA (253 nucleotides) under uncultured bacterium. Its description in RNAcentral is "partial 16S ribosomal RNA". It matches the Rfam family "Bacterial small subunit ribosomal RNA", at positions 524 to 776 of the family's 1533-position model. The record is from RNAcentral.
UCCGUAGGGUGCGAUCGUUAAUCGGAAUUACUGGGCGUAAAGCGUGCGCAGGCGGUCUGCUAAGACAGGUGUGAAAUCCCUGGGCUCAACCUAGGAAUUGCGCUUGUGACUGGCGGGCUAGAGUACGGUAGAGGGGGGUGGAAUUCCUGGUGUAGCAGUGAAAUGCGUAGAGAUCAGGAGGAACACCGAUGGCGAAGGCAGCCCCCUGGGCCUGUACUGACGCUCAGGCACGAAAGCGUGGGGAGAAAACAGG